CCUUCGAUAGCUCAGUUGGAAGAGCGCAAGACUGUAAUUGGCUAAACGUACAUCUUGAUGUCGCUGGUUCGAUCCCGGCUCGAAGGA
This 87-nucleotide transfer RNA is filed under the name Heterobasidion irregulare TC 32-1. It matches the Rfam family "tRNA". Rfam says of the family: Transfer RNA (tRNA) molecules are approximately 80 nucleotides in length. Their secondary structure includes four short double-helical elements and three loops (D, anti-codon, and T loops). Further hydrogen bonds mediate the characteristic L-shaped molecular structure. tRNAs have two regions of fundamental functional importance: the anti-codon, which is responsible for specific mRNA codon recognition, and the 3' end, to which the tRNAs corresponding amino acid is attached (by aminoacyl-tRNA synthetases). tRNAs cope with the degeneracy of the genetic code in two manners: having more than one tRNA (with a specific anti-codon) for a particular amino acid; and 'wobble' base-pairing, i.e. permitting non-standard base-pairing at the 3rd anti-codon position. Lineage: Eukaryota; Fungi; Basidiomycota; Agaricomycetes; Russulales; Bondarzewiaceae. The record is from Rfam by way of RNAcentral.